Molecule: long non-coding RNA, 489 nt
Organism: Clupea harengus (Atlantic herring)
Lineage: Eukaryota; Metazoa; Chordata; Actinopteri; Clupeiformes; Clupeidae
Source: Ensembl
AAGCCCACGUUAUCCGUACUACAAUAUCGGUUGUACCGUGACCGGAAGCAGUUUAAGCACACACUUGCUUGGAGCAAAGAUUUUGCUGUCUAUGCUCUGGACUGUUAUCAGUUGUCAAGAAAGCGCUUACGUUGCAAGCUCAGAAAGCCAGGAGCACACAUGAAAUAAACGUUCAAUGUAGAAUAUCAAAAAAUUUGGAAAUGUGUCUAAAAGAAUCAGGAGGAGUUGGGGAUCACGACACACUGUCCGAAAUGUAUGUACCUAACCUCAAAGGGACAAGCGGUUAUAAUAUUUGUUGAAAUCUUGAGGUAUUCUUCUAGACGUGAACGGAGCAGUUCGCCCCAUAUUGGAGCGGUGAAGACUGGCCUGUAAACAAACGCAAGGUUUGUGAAAACUGAAUGCAUCGGCACCACACCCCCACCUUUAGGCGAAAACCAUCUGCAAGCAGAAGCUUAAGGCAGCAAUGAGAGACGGAACCCUUUAAACCUG